RNAcentral lists this ribosomal RNA (327 nucleotides) under uncultured eukaryote. RNAcentral's name for it is "partial 18S ribosomal RNA". It matches the Rfam family "Eukaryotic small subunit ribosomal RNA", at positions 1470 to 1796 of the family's 1831-position model. The record is from RNAcentral.
CCCUUAGAUGUUCUGGGCCGCACGCGCGCUACACUGACGAAUGCAACGAGCUUAUAACCUUGGCCGAAAGGUCUGGGUAAUCUCCAAAUUUCGUCGUGAUGGGGAUAGAUUAUUGCAAUUAUUAAUCUUCAACGAGGAAUGCCUAGUAAGCGCAAGUCAUCAGCUUGCGUUGAUUACGUCCCUGCCCUUUGUACACACCGCCCGUCGCUCCUACCGAUUGAAUGGUCCGGUGAAGCGCUCGGACCGCGGCCUCUUGACGGUUCGCUGUCGAUUGGCUGUGGGAAGUUCGUUAAAUCUUAUCAUUUAGAGGAAGGAGAAGUCGUAACA